Molecule: ribosomal RNA, 524 nt
Rfam family: 5.8S ribosomal RNA (bases 167-320)
GCUCAUCACCCUUUGUGACAUACCUUAACUGUUGCUUCGGCGGGUAGGCGUCCCCUAAAAAGGACGUCUCCCGGCCCUCUCCCGUCCGCGGGUGGGGCGCCCGCCGGAGGAUAACCAAACUCUGAUUUAACGACGUUUCUUCUGAGUGACACAAGCAAAUAAUCAAAACUUUUAACAACGGAUCUCUUGGUUCUGGCAUCGAUGAAGAACGCAGCGAAAUGCGAUAAGUAAUGUGAAUUGCAAAAUUCAGUGAAUCAUCGAAUCUUUGAACGCACAUUGCGCCCGCCAGCAUUCUGGCGGGCAUGCCUGUUCGAGCGUCAUUUCAACCCUCAAGCUCUGCUUGGGGUUGGGGCUCUACAGUUGACGUAGGCCCUUAAAGGUAGUGGCGGACCCUCUCGGAGCCUCCUUUGCGUAGUAACAUUUCGUCUCGCAUUGUGAUUCGGAGGGACUCUAGCCGUAAAACCCCCAAUUUUACUAAGGUUGACCUCGGAUCAGGUAGGAAUACCCGCUGAACUUAAGCAUAU